This 497-nucleotide ribosomal RNA is filed under the name uncultured bacterium. Its description in RNAcentral is "partial 16S ribosomal RNA". It matches the Rfam family "Bacterial small subunit ribosomal RNA", at positions 28 to 507 of the family's 1533-position model. The record is from RNAcentral.
GAUGAACGCUGGCGGCGUGCCUAAUACAUGCAAGUCGAGCGAACGGACGAGAAGCUUGCUUCUCUGAUGUUAGCGGCGGACGGGUGAGUAACACGUGGAUAACCUACCUAUAAGACUGGGAUAACUUCGGGAAACCGGAGCUAAUACCGGAUAAUAUUUUGAACCGCAUGGUUCAAAAGUGAAAGACGGUCUUGCUGUCACUUAUAGAUGGAUCUGCGCUGCAUUAGCUAGUUGGUAAGGUAACGGCUUACCAGGGCAACGAUGCAUAGCCGACCUGAGAGGGUGAUCGGCCACACUGGAACUGAGACACGGUCCAGACUCCUACGGGAGGCAGCAGUAGGGAAUCUUCCGCAAUGGGCGAAAGCCUGACGGAGCAACGCCGCGUGAGUGAUGAAGGUCUUCGGAUCGUAAAACUCUGUUAUUAGGGAAGAACAUAUGUGUAAGUAACUGUGCACAUCUUGACGGUACCUAAUCAGAAAGCCACGGCUAACUACGUG